RNAcentral lists this ribosomal RNA (253 nucleotides) under uncultured bacterium. RNAcentral describes it as "partial 16S ribosomal RNA". It matches the Rfam family "Bacterial small subunit ribosomal RNA", at positions 524 to 776 of the family's 1533-position model. The record is from RNAcentral.
UACAGGGGGGGCAAGCGUUGCUCGGAAUCACUGGGCGUAAAGGGCGCGUAGGCGGGAUGGCAAGUCGGUCGUGAAAUCCUUCGGCUCAACCGAAGAACGUCGGCCGAUACUGCCGUUCUUGAGGGAUGCAGAGGAGAUUGGAAUUCCCGGUGUAGAGGUGAAAUUCGUAGAUAUCGGGAGGAACACCAGUGGCGAAGGCGGCGAUCUGGGCAGACACUGACGCUGAGGUGCGAAAGCGUGGGGAGCAAACAGG